CAGCCGAUGAAAGUCCGGUCCGGGUAAUCGCCAGGGAUCCCGGUAGCAGACGACCGCUGCACUGGGGAGACGCCGGGCAUCGAAGCGCCGUGUUAAAAACUCUAUAGGAGGAGCAACCAGACGGUCCGUAAUAUUA
Bacillus thermozeamaize is the source of this 136-nucleotide non-coding RNA. Lineage: Bacteria; Bacillati; Bacillota; Bacilli; Caryophanales; Bacillaceae. The record is from Rfam.